GAUGAACGCUGGCGGCGUGCCUAAUACAUGCAAGUCGAGCGAAUGGAUUAAGAGCUUACUCUUAUGAAGUUAGCGGCGGACGGGUGAGUAACACGUGGGUAACCUGCCCAUAAGACUGGGAUAACUCCGGGAAACCGGGGCUAAUACCGGAUAACAUUUUGAACCGCAUGGUUCGAAAUUGAAAGGCGGCUUCGGCUGUCACUUAUGGAUGGACCCGCGUCGCAUUAGCUAGUUGGUGAGGUAACGGCUCACCAAGGCAACGAUGCGUAGCCGACCUGAGAGGGUGAUCGGCCACACUGGGACUGAGACACGGCCCAGACUCCUACGGGAGGCAGCAGUAGGGAAUCUUCCGCAAUGGACGAAAGUCUGACGGAGCAACGCCGCGUGAGUGAGGAAGGCUUUCGGGUCGUAAAACUCUGUUGUUAGGGAAGAACAAGUGCUAGUUGAAUAAGCUGGCACCUUGACGGUACCUAACCAGAAAGCCACGGCUAACUACGUGCCAGCCGCCGCUGUAA
This 515-nucleotide ribosomal RNA is filed under the name uncultured bacterium. RNAcentral describes it as "partial 16S ribosomal RNA". It matches the Rfam family "Bacterial small subunit ribosomal RNA", at positions 28 to 523 of the family's 1533-position model. The record is from RNAcentral.